UAGGGAAUCUUACGCAAUGGGCGAAAGCCUGACGGAGCAACGCCGCGUGAGUGAUGAAGGUCUUCGGAUCGUAAAACUCUGUUAUUAGGGAAGAACAAAUGUGUAAGUAACUAUGCACGUCUUGACGGUACCUAAUCAGAAAGCCACGGCUAACUACGUGCCAGCAGCCGCGGUAAUACGUAGGUGGCAAGCGUUAUCCGGAAUUAUUGGGCGUAAAGCGCGCGUAGGCGGUUUUUUAAGUCUGAUGUGAAAGCCCACGGCUCAACCGUGGAGGGUCAUUGGAAACUGGAAAACUUGAGUGCAGAAGAGGAAAGUGGAAUUCCAUGUGUAGCGGUGAAAUGCGCAGAGAUAUGGAGGAACACCAGUGGCGAAGGCGACUUUCUGGUCUGUAUCUGACGCUGAUGUGCGAAAGCGUGGGGAUCAAACAGG
RNAcentral lists this ribosomal RNA (429 nucleotides) under Actinomycetes bacterium. Its description in RNAcentral is "Actinobacteria bacterium partial 16S ribosomal RNA". It matches the Rfam family "Bacterial small subunit ribosomal RNA", at positions 355 to 776 of the family's 1533-position model. Lineage: Bacteria; Bacillati; Actinomycetota; Actinomycetes. The record is from RNAcentral.